RNAcentral lists this long non-coding RNA (1444 nucleotides) under Salmo salar (Atlantic salmon). RNAcentral's name for it is "lncRNA (ENSSSAG00000103940.1)". Lineage: Eukaryota; Metazoa; Chordata; Actinopteri; Salmoniformes; Salmonidae. The record is from RNAcentral.
GGAACUGUUUGAGACGACACACUCCAGCUGGUUUUUCACCUCUCAUCUUCAUAGUCAACUAUAUGAUCCAAACCAUACUUCAGUAAAGAUCUGUUAAGUCAGUUUGAUGUUCAAUGUUAUAUAGAACAAGUAGCUUUUCAUUUCCCCAAUUCUAAAGCACAUAUUCAUUGAACAUGGACUGUGGUAUAAUAAUAUUCUCUCUUUUUCUGUUGGCUGCUUCAGGACAGAGGCUGCAACAGGACCAGAUAUCAGAGACUAAGAGAGAGAAAGAGAGUGUCACCUUCAGCUGCAAAGUUACUGGUUCGUGUUCAGGUAACAAAGUCUACUGGUACCAGAAGAAAGAGGGUGAAGCCUUCACUUGGAUUAAUUUUGAUGCCAAUUCUGGCAGCAGUGAUACCCCUCAUCCUCAGAGACAAGAUUUCUAUAUUUGGAGGGAGUCUGCGUCUCACCCCAGUGAGCUGAAGAUCCAGUUCGUUAAAGUGUCCCAUUCUGCCACCUAUUACUGUGCCUGUAGGGUCUUAGGAACCCACAGCUCGAAUUUGGCUCUGGCACGACACUUUAUGUGACAGACAGCAAUCAACGAAAACCCAAAGUGACGGUGUACCCAGCGUCCAACUCUGAGUCGAAUGGGAAGACCACCCUGCUAUGUCUGGCUAGAGACAUGUUUCCAGACUUGGUCAAGAUCUCAUGGAAGAUUGAGGAUGCAAACGGCAGAAGAAUGGAGGUGUCCAAAGCAGAGACGGAACAGCUGGAGCAGAGGGAGGAAGGACAGACAACCAGUAUGAUCAUCAUUGAUAAAGAGAAGACGUACAGGAACAAAUACGUCUGUUCUGUGGAGCAUGAAUGGGGCGCUCAACAAUUUGACAUUCCAAAAGAUACUCCACCAACCUGCCCGUUCAGAAAUGACACGCAGGAGCCACUGACUCUGCAGUUUACCGAAGAUUCCUUCCAGUCAACGUGCAGUCUGAACCUGGCCUCUGUGGUUUACACAGUGAUGAUCGUGAAGAGCAUGGUGUACUGCUGUGGGCUCUCUCUCCUGCUGCACCACAGGAUUCUAGGAAGAGGACCCAGCACCUGAAGACCUCUAUGAGGAAAAUCAUUUAUGUGCUUUUUUACAUUGAUACAAUGUUGUUGUUUUUUUACAUUGAUCCAGCUUGCAUGACAUUUUCCUUGCCUAACACAGCCUGCUCAAAUUAACCAAGUUGAUCAAAAUAACCAUAUUAUUUUAGAUGAGGAUGGAUUUAAUUAUCGCUGCCUUUAUGAACAAAAUGUUGCAACAACAAUGGUUCUGUAAAUCAUUGUAAAAUACAUUUUUUACAGUUCCGUGCUGUUUUCUAUGAAUAAAGGUUACUUAAAACCCCCAAAACAUUGCAUCUCUUUACUAUAAGAUCAUCUAUUCAUAUUUAGGAAAAUUUUAUUUAAUUGAAUCUCAUCAGAAGCAGAA